GGGAAAUGAACAACAGUAUCCCUACCAAUAAGUUAAAGUGGUCUUUGAAAUUUCCACAGUAAAUUUAAAGACUCUAAGGGACAGAAUAAAAUAAUGGCAGUGCCCAGGGCAGAAUGAAGCAUAGGUUACAUGCUAAGAGCGUAUCAGUCAUCUCAAGCAGAACAAGCCAUCAUUCUUAGCUGAAUGUUAGCCUCAUAUUUUAUUCUCUCUGUCUUCAAGUAUGUCCCUGUUCUACUGUCUUACUAGGGAGUGUUUUAUCUUAGAAAAUCUACUUUAAAUAUUUGCAGGGAAGC
RNAcentral lists this long non-coding RNA (293 nucleotides) under Bos taurus (domestic cattle). Its description in RNAcentral is "long non-coding RNA NONBTAT019320". Lineage: Eukaryota; Metazoa; Chordata; Mammalia; Artiodactyla; Bovidae. The record is from RNAcentral.